Molecule: long non-coding RNA, 2733 nt
Filed under: Felis catus (domestic cat)
Lineage: Eukaryota; Metazoa; Chordata; Mammalia; Carnivora; Felidae
Description: lncRNA (ENSFCAG00000052147.1)
Source: RNAcentral
ACACCGGGCGAAACAGGCACCCACCCAUCGCUGGAUCCACCAGGCUCCUCGCUCAUCGCGUAACCUAAACGCACCCCCCCCCCCCGCCCCCGCCUGCACACCAAGGAGUUAAUUGCUUCAACCCUGAGAUCUUUCUCGAACCUUCCAGCUCUGUUGGGGGCUGGCCAAAUGCAAGCUCGCUCCCAGAGGCAAACCGUAGCUCCUUAGCGACCAAUGCCAGGGUGACUGGCGAUGGAGAGCCGUUGGGGGCCUCAGGUGCUGGAAGAGGAGUAUUUACUGUCGGCCUUCACACACCUUAUGUCUGGAAAAGCUGCGUCGGAGCACCAGGGGGAUGAAGGGGGGGUAUCUGCUAGCCCCCCUUAUUAGUGGCUUCUAAAUGCCACUCACCACGAGAAGAUUCAGGGCUCUUUGAAGAAAUCGCUUUUUCUAGGGCUGAGCCAGGAAAGUACAAGAUGAGCUUGGAACAUCUUGUGCCAGAAAGUAAGGGAGUGCUCAGAGGAUGCUGGGGACAUAUCAGAAUGAUACGAGAGGCAGCCCAGAGAGGGUCUCACUAGGUCAAAUCUGGACAAUUGAAGCACCAAAAUAAAUAAUAUUAAGAUUUCUAGUUCCCACCAAGUUGGAGUAGCCCCAUUCCUCCCAAACCCUCCUGCUUGCAACUAAAGAUUCCUGUAGCACAACAAACAGGAAGUUCUGAAAGGUGGAAAGAAAACAAACUUCUUAAGGACCCCCAGGAUUUGAGAAAUAACAGGGCAGUGAAUUUCCUCAGCUGCCUCACUGCCACCUGUAAGCCCUGGAUGGGGGCCCAUCCAGAACCGCCCACAGGAGCGGAAGAAAAAUAAAAAAUAAAAAGCCACGGGGAAAGUCUGCUCCCCUUGGCCAAAGGUGCCACAAUACAGGUGGACUAACAACAGGAAACUUUUUAGGUAAUACCAGCCCCGCAGCAGCCGGGUACCAAUGGAAAAUUCACCCCCACUCACUUGAACAGAUUACACCAGGCAGCGAGAGAGGGGAUCUAAUCCGGAAUUGCACAUUCUCCUCACGUCUCGGGUCAGCAGGGCCCAGCAAGCAGCAAAAAAAAAAGUGGAAAAAUCGACUUAUGUGAAGAAGGCACGGAUCACUUUUCCAGAAACAAAUUUUAUCUUGAUUUCAAGGAGGAAAAACCUGUCUGUGAUGACUUUCUGUCAUUCAAGUAUAUUUUGAAUUAAAGGGUCAUUUGUGUGUUUAUUCCACAAAUAUUGAGAGAUUACUUUUAUGUGCCAGGCAUUUUUCAUUCCAUAAACUUCCUCCCCACCCCCACCCCCAAUAGGUUUUCCUGCCUAAUCUAGAUCACAAGCCCUUCUCAUUAGGAAACUAGCAUGGUUACUAUUUUCAUUCCGUCUGGUAGAUCUUUGUCUCCCCAACCCCAGCUGUCACUUGGCUAAGGCCCCUUCUUUCCUUAGUUCUUCAAGUAUUUUUCAUGGAGAACUUCUCGUCCCCCCACCACAACUGGCUUCUGCCUGUGGGGCAGUCCCAUCCUCAGGACCCCUGGAUGGGCGCCUUCAUCAGACUCUUCCAGACACCAGGUUUUCCGCUUAACUGUGGGGACCAGGAAGGAAGGCCAGGAAACCCCUGAGCCAAAUCUGCUGACAUGGAAGUCCCCUGUAUGCAGAAGUGGACUGUACUUAAAGAUUAAGUAGGUUUGUAAACAUUCUCUAGUUUCAAGCCAGGGUAUUUCCUCUUUCCCAUCAUAUUUUAUUUUACAUUUUUAAAUGUUUAUUUCGAAAUGAUUUUAUUUGUUUACUUUUAAAUGUUUUAUUUAUUUUUGAGACAGACAGACAGAGUGCGAGCAGGGGAGGGGCAGAGAGGGAGACAGAGGAUCUGAAUGAAUCAGGCUCUCCACUGAGAGCUGAGAGCCCGAUGCAGGGCUCCAACUCACGAUGAAAUCAUGACCUGAGCCGAAGUCGGAAGCUUAAUCGACUGAGCCACCCAGGUGCCCCUACUCGGAAAUGAUUUUAAAUUUACAGAAAACUUGCAAGAAUAGUACAUAGACACUUUUAUGAUGAAUAGGAUAUUUUGUAGACUCAAACCCCUCCCAACCAGUUAAUAUUCGUUGAUUACUCUUGCCUAAAUUAAGAAUGAUUGAAAGCGGAGAUUUUCUUUUUUAAAAUGUUUAUUUAUUUAUUUUGGGGAGAGAGAGCGUGAGAGAGCACACAAAUAGGGGAGGGGCAGAGAGAGAGGGAUACAGAGAAUCUGAAGCGGGUUGUAGGCUCUGAGCUGUCAGCACAGAGCCUGACUCGGGGCUUGAACCCACAAGCUGUGAGAUCAUGACCUGAGCCGAAGUUGAAUGCUUAACCAACUGAGCCACCCAGGCGCCCCUGAAAGUGGUGAUUUUCUAACUCUUAUCAAUUUUUUUUCUACAUUUACUAAUUGUAUUCUACUGUAAGGCACCUGGUAUAGAUUAAAAAGUUUGCAUCCUUCCAAAAUUCCUGUGUUGAAAAUCUAAUAACCAAGGUGACAGUGUUAGAAGGUGGGGCCUUUGGGAAGGGAUUAGGUCAUGAUGGUGGAGCCCUCAUGAAUGGGAUACAAGCGACCCAGAUAGCUCCCUCUCCCCUUCUACCAAGUGAAGACAGUGAUAAGUUGGUAGUUUGCAUCCUGGAAGAAGGCCUUCACCAGAACCGCACCAUACAGGCACCCUGAUCUUAGACUUCCUGCCUCUAGAAGUGUGAGAAAUAAAUUUCUGUUGUUUCUAAGCCA